UUAAGUUAUUAAGGGCGCACGGUGGAUGCCUUGGCACUAGAAGCCGAUGAAGGACGUUACUAACGACGAUAUGCUUUGGGGAGCUGUAAGUAAGCUUUGAUCCAGAGAUUUCCGAAUGGGGAAACCCAGCAUGAGUUAUGUCAUGUUAUCGAUAUGUGAAUACAUAGCAUAUCAGAAGGCACACCCGGAGAACUGAAACAUCUUAGUACCCGGAGGAAGAGAAAGAAAAUUCGAUUCCCUUAGUAGCGGCGAGCGAAACGGGAAGAGCCCAAACCAACAAGCUUGCUUGUUGGGGUUGUAGGACACUCUAUACGGAGUUACAAAGGACGACAUUAGACGAAUCAUCUGGAAAGAUGAAUCAAAGAAGGUAAUAAUCCUGUAGUCGAAAAUGUUGUCUCUCUUGAGUGGAUCCUGAGUACGACGGAGCACGUGAAAUUCCGUCGGAAUCUGGGAGGACCAUCUCCUAAGGCUAAAUACUCUCUAGUGACCGAUAGUGAACCAGUACCGUGAGGGAAAGGUGAAAAGCACCCCGGAAGGGGAGUGAAAUAGAACCUGAAACCGUGUGCUUACAAGUAGUCAGAGCCCGUUAAUGGGUGAUGGCGUGCCUUUUGUAGAAUGAACCGGCGAGUUACGAUUUGAUGCAAGGUUAAGCAGUAAAUGUGGAGCCGUAGCGAAAGCGAGUCUGAAUAGGGCGUUUAGUAUUUGGUCGUAGACCCGAAACCAGGUGAUCUACCCUUGGUCAGGUUGAAGUUCAGGUAACACUGAAUGGAGGACCGAACCGACUUACGUUGAAAAGUGAGCGGAUGAACUGAGGGUAGCGGAGAAAUUCCAAUCGAACCUGGAGAUAGCUGGUUCUCUCCGAAAUAGCUUUAGGGCUAGCCUCAAGUGAUGAUUAUUGGAGGUAGAGCACUGUUUGGACGAGGGGCCCCUCUCGGGUUACCGAAUUCAGACAAACUCCGAAUGCCAAUUAAUUUAACUUGGGAGUCAGAACAUGGGUGAUAAGGUCCGUGUUCGAAAGGGAAACAGCCCAGACCACCAGCUAAGGUCCCAAAAUAUAUGUUAAGUGGAAAAGGAUGUGGCGUUGCCCAGACAACUAGGAUGUUGGCUUAGAAGCAGCCAUCAUUUAAAGAGUGCGUAAUAGCUCACUAGUCGAGUGACACUGCGCCGAAAAUGUACCGGGGCUAAACAUNUUACCGAAGCUGUGGAUUGUCCUUUGGACAAUGGUAGGAGAGCGUUCUAAGGGCGUUGAAGCAUGAUCGUAAGGACAUGUGGAGCGCUUAGAAGUGAGAAUGCCGGUGUGAGUAGCGAAAGACGGGUGAGAAUCCCGUCCACCGAUUGACUAAGGUUUCCAGAGGAAGGCUCGUCCGCUCUGGGUUAGUCGGGUCCUAAGCUGAGGCCGACAGGCGUAGGCGAUGGAUAACAGGUUGAUAUUCCUGUACCACCUAUAAUCGUUUUAAUCGAUGGGGGGACGCAGUAGGAUAGGCGAAGCGUGCGAUUGGAUUGCACGUCUAAGCAGUAAGGCUGAGUAUUAGGCAAAUCCGGUACUCGUUAAGGCUGAGCUGUGAUGGGGAGAAGACAUUGUGUCUUCGAGUCGUUGAUUUCACACUGCCGAGAAAAGCCUCUAGAUAGAAAAUAGGUGCCCGUACCGCAAACCGACACAGGUAGUCAAGAUGAGAAUUCUAAGGUGAGCGAGCGAACUCUCGUUAAGGAACUCGGCAAAAUGACCCCGUAACUUCGGGAGAAGGGGUGCUCUUUAGGGUUAACGCCCAGAAGAGCCGCAGUGAAUAGGCCCAAGCGACUGUUUAUCAAAAACACAGGUCUCUGCUAAACCGUAAGGUGAUGUAUAGGGGCUGACGCCUGCCCGGUGCUGGAAGGUUAAGAGGAGUGGUUAGCUUCUGCGAAGCUACGAAUCGAAGCCCCAGUAAACGGCGGCCGUAACUAUAACGGUCCUAAGGUAGCGAAAUUCCUUGUCGGGUAAGUUCCGACCCGCACGAAAGGCGUAACGAUUUGGGCACUGUCUCAACGAGAGACUCGGUGAAAUCAUAGUACCUGUGAAGAUGCAGGUUACCCGCGACAGGACGGAAAGACCCCGUGGAGCUUUACUGUAGCCUGAUAUUGAAAUUCGGCACAGCUUGUACAGGAUAGGUAGGAGCCUUUGAAACGUGAGCGCUAGCUUACGUGGAGGCGCUGGUGGGAUACUACCCUAGCUGUGUUGGCUUUCUAACCCGCACCACUUAUCGUGGUGGGAGACAGUGUCAGGCGGGCAGUUUGACUGGGGCGGUCGCCUCCUAAAAGGUAACGGAGGCGCUCAAAGGUUCCCUCAGAAUGGUUGGAAAUCAUUCAUAGAGUGUAAAGGCAUAAGGGAGCUUGACUGCGAGACCUACAAGUCGAGCAGGGUCGAAAGACGGACUUAGUGAUCCGGUGGUUCCGCAUGGAAGGGCCAUCGCUCAACGGAUAAAAGCUACCCCGGGGAUAACAGGCUUAUCUCCCCCAAGAGUUCACAUCGACGGGGAGGUUUGGCACCUCGAUGUCGGCUCAUCGCAUCCUGGGGCUGUAGUCGGUCCCAAGGGUUGGGCUGUUCGCCCAUUAAAGCGGUACGCGAGCUGGGUUCAGAACGUCGUGAGACAGUUCGGUCCCUAUCCGUCGUGGGCGUAGGAAAUUUGAGAGGAGCUGUCCUUAGUACGAGAGGACCGGGAUGGACAUACCUCUGGUGUACCAGUUGUCGUGCCAACGGCAUAGCUGGGUAGCUAUGUGUGGACGGGAUAAGUGCUGAAAGCAUCUAAGCAUGAAGCCCCCCUCAAGAUGAGAUUUCCCAACUUCGGUUAUAAGAUCCCUCAAAGAUGAUGAGGUUAAUAGGUUCGAGGUGGAAGCAUGGUGACAUGUGGAGCUGACGAAUACUAAUCGAUCGAAGACUUAAUCAA
Molecule: ribosomal RNA, 2921 nt
Filed under: Staphylococcus aureus
Lineage: Bacteria; Bacillati; Bacillota; Bacilli; Caryophanales; Staphylococcaceae
Description: 23S ribosomal RNA
Rfam family: Bacterial large subunit ribosomal RNA
Source: RNAcentral